This 264-nucleotide unclassified non-coding RNA is filed under the name Athalia rosae (coleseed sawfly). RNAcentral's name for it is "misc RNA ENSAEAG00005012887.1". The record is from RNAcentral. Lineage: Eukaryota; Metazoa; Arthropoda; Insecta; Hymenoptera; Athaliidae.
CCGUGUCAUAUUGCCAAAGCAUAUUCUCUAUACUAUCUCAUUCCGUUCCAGGUUAUAAAACACCCCCUUAAAACGUCCCGUCCUCUUCGUUCUUACGUCUAUUAGGAGAAUAUAUAUUCAUCCUAGGACGCGUGGUUGAAAUUAUUUUUCACGAGGAUAACGCAACCGGCGAGACAAAUGAAAACCAGUUUCCCACCCACCCCCCCUCCGACGUUGAAAAUGUUUGGAAAGCCAACGAAUCCCUCAUUCCCAUCGUCAGCUCCG